RNAcentral lists this ribosomal RNA (460 nucleotides) under uncultured bacterium. RNAcentral's name for it is "partial 16S ribosomal RNA". It matches the Rfam family "Bacterial small subunit ribosomal RNA", at positions 338 to 795 of the family's 1533-position model. The record is from RNAcentral.
CCUACGGGAGGCAGCAGUGAGGAAUAUUGGUCAAUGGACGAGAGUCUGAACCAGCCAAGUAGCGUGAAGGAUGACUGCCCUAUGGGUUGUAAACUUCUUUUAUAUGGGAAUAAAAUGUUCCACGUGUGGGAUUUUGUAUGUACCAUAUGAAUAAGGAUCGGCUAACUCCGUGCCAGCAGCCGCGGUAAUACGGAGGAUCCGAGCGUUAUCCGGAUUUAUUGGGGUUAAAGGGAGCGUAGGUGGAUUGUUAAGUCAGUUGUGAAAGUUUGCGGCUCAACCGUAAAAUUGCAGUUGAAACUGGCAGUCUUGAGUACAGUAGAGGUGGGCGGAAUUCGUGGUGGAGCGGUGAAAUGCUUAGAUAUCACGAAGAACUCCGAUUGCGAAGGCAGUUCACUGGACUGCAACUGACACUGAGGCUCGAAAGUGUGGGUAUCAAACAGGAUUAGUUACCCCAGUAGUC